RNAcentral lists this ribosomal RNA (496 nucleotides) under uncultured bacterium. Its description in RNAcentral is "partial 16S ribosomal RNA". It matches the Rfam family "Bacterial small subunit ribosomal RNA", at positions 29 to 507 of the family's 1533-position model. The record is from RNAcentral.
AACGAACGCUGGCGGCGCGUCUUAAGCAUGCAAGUCGAACGGCAAGAGAGGAGCUUGCUUCUCUCCUAGAGUGGCGGACUGGUGAGGAACACGUGGGUAAUCUACCCUUAACAUGGGGAUAGCUGCUAGAAAUAGCAGGUAAUACCGAAUACACUCGGCAUAUCACAAGAGGUGUUGAGGAAAGGAAGCUACGGCUUCGCUUGAGGAUGAGCUUGCGUCCCAUUAGCUAGUUGGUGAGGUAAAGACCCACCAAGGCGACGAUGGGUAUCCGGCCUGAGAGGGUGAACGGACACAUUGGGACUGAGAUACGGCCCAAACUCCUACGGGAGGCAGCAGCUAAGAAUAUUCCGCAAUGGACGGAAGUCUGACGGAGCGACGCCGCGUGGAUGAAGAAGGCUGAAAAGUUGUAAAAUCCUUUUGUUGAUGAAGAAUAAGGGUGAGAGGGAAUGCUCAUCUGAUGACGGUAAUCGACGAAUAAGCCCCGGCUAAUUACGUG